ACUACAAAGUCUGGUGUGGGGAACAAAGCGUUUUUGGGGCUUGCCAAGUUGCCUCUAAGGAUGCAAAAACCACCUCCUGCGCAAUUCCUUCUCUUAACAGAGGGGACUUAAACCUCCCCAUAGCCAUGGGGUGCAGGUGAUCAUGUAGGAACAGUGCAAUGUUCAUGGCUGUCAUGCUCUUGGAGGGACUGGCACAGAGGUCCACAGCUGGUUUUAGUUUCCUAUCUGUCAGCUUUAGCUAAAAGUUAAUAGCAUACAAGCUUUUUCCAUACCCUCAAACUUGGGCAGCCAAAGCCUUCCCUUGUUGCAGUUUGCAGAUAUUCACAUUCUGGCUAAUUGUAUAAUUGAGAUGUUUCCAGUGAUUUAAAAGACUUCUGACUAAGCUGUUGGCAUAAAGGGGGAAAACUGAAAGCCGGAGUCAGGGGGAAUAAAGAAUUCAACAGAAGCCUUUGAACCAGCUUUUGAUUUGCAUAUGAAUAAUGAUUGAUCUGCAAAGGGAAUCGUGUCCAGCCAUUCUCAACAGAGGCACCAGGCAGGAACCGGUUCCUUGCUGGGAGUGCUCCUUCAAUUCCUACCAAGAUUAUUUCACAGAAUUUCCCCAUCAUGCUUUCAUGACCAUGUAUUACUGCCUAGUUACACAGGAUCUCAUCCAGAUACAAAUUCCCUUGAUCUCAGGGACACUGAACCAUGGUGUCCAGAGUGACUGUGGUGCACAGAGUAGGAACAGACAUACAGUUCUGGAUGCCUGGGAGGUGUCACAUGCUGAUGCACAAACAGAAGGAGCAAAAACGUUAAGGUGCCUGUGAUGGGACCCUCCUGCAGGGACACUUGCUCUGCUAUGCUGGGACCUGACCUUGACACGUGUCGGCUUUUUGUGUGGCUGGUUGCCAGCUCUGCUGCUCCCAAAGGUGUUGAAGAUGAAGGACUUUGCAGAACCAUAGCUUGAGGUGUCUGGAGAGCUCCACCCCCUGAGCCAAAAUCACCACUUGAGAGUGGAGAAGAGAAUAAUCUGGAGGAAAUGACAGACUGCAGCUGUCAGAAAUCUUCCACAAUUCUGAGCAGCAGGGAGUGUGGAGGGGCAGGAAAGGCCUGUGAUUUGGGUACCCAUAGCAUGUCCUGCCACCAGCAGCAGGCGGAAUGCUACAGGUAGAGCCAAGGUUUGUGAAGGGCAAACCAGAAGUCUGCUGUCUGUGCUCUUGCUAACAGCUCACAAUUUCUCCAAUUAUCUGGCGAGCUCAAAAGGUGCAUGUGAUGGACAAUGUGGUGGCAGCAGGCGUACGUAGCUCUCACCUUUGUGUAGAGGCAUAAAGCUGGGCACAAUCCCAUGCUCUCUGCUACAAAUACUACAUUGUUUGGAUCCGGGAAACAAAGACUUGCAGAAGGUGUUGGAGCAUUAGCAGCCAGGCACUGAACUUUAAUUGUUUAUAGAAAUUCCCAUUACACUAUUCUACACACGAGGUAAAUAUAUUUAAAUAAAUCAUUCUAAAUAAUGAAAUAGAAAUCACAUAUCAUUUCCUAUAAUGCUCGAGUUCCUAAGAACUUCCUUUGUAUGAUUGUGAACUGUCCCAACUGCGUAGAUAUCCUGUACCACAAGAGCAAAAGAAUGAUUAGAUGACUUUAUACACAUGGCAUACAAUCCCUAAUUAAACAAGAGCUCAAACAAUUUCAGAGUACACCAUUUGCACAAUGAUAGGAAAAAAAAAAAAAAAGAAAUUGUUUUUAGAAUUAAAAAAAAAGACCAGCUCUCUCUUACUCUGUAAACAGGAACAUAUUCAUCUACUAGUCAUACUCAGCUGGACUCUCUAUCCCUAAGAAUAAAGGCAUCCUUGUAUUCUGAUCCAGAUCGAAUUAACCUAAGACAAGUUUCAGUUAUGAGGACAAACACUGGAUGUAGAGUUCACAAAUUAAAAAUAUGAAGCUUGUAUUACUGGGAAAACUGUCUUCUCUGUGUAAGAUAGAUCAAAUAUCUAACAAUUAGAGAUGUGUAAGAUGAUAUCAGAAGAAUCAUCUUGAGUAGGCUCAAUUAAAUAAGCUAAACUGUCAUUUUUAAUAAGACUUUAAUUUUAGCAACUGGAAUAACAUCAGGUCGUUCUGUGUGUGUGAUAGGCAGCAACUUACUUUACCCACAACAAUGAAGAUGGUAUUUUGAAUGAAUACAAUAUACAUGACAGGCACACGACUGACUGGAUUGUGUGAUGCAGUAACUGCACAAUAUAAUGAAAAAAGUAACUUUGAUCUCUAGUAGCCUUGUGAAAACAAGCUCCAUGUAGUAGCUUUUGCAGAAAAAAAGACAUUUGUUACCAUGCCAUGCUUUCAUUCAAGCAGAACGCUUCUGUAAGAAGUUGUCCAUACCUCUUACAAGCCACAAAAUUACAGAUGAUAAAGAAAAGGCACUCUCCUGAAAGGUAAGGAUGUGGCACAAGAUCCAGUCUUAUCAGCCAUCAAAGAAUCCAGAUGAGUGGAGGCAUAAUGAACAAGCUAACUUCACUUAGGCUUCAUUCCUUACGAGCCAGAGGAAAUUAGGCUUCAUUAGUUUCAUUGCUUCCUCGGUUAGCUGUGAAGCAUUGCAUAGAAUUUGCAGAGGAAGUGAAGUGAAAACUUUUCUUCAUCUGUCAGAGAUCCUUUUAUGAGUAACAAUUUCCACUUCUGCAUGAAAAAGGGAAAUCAUCUGCCCUGUGUACUGUAUGGUGACUUUGGGCAUAAAGCGGGUGACAAACAUAAGAUAAAAAUGAUCGAUUUUCUUGUUGCGUUUUUUUUUAUUACUAAACCCAAUACAAGAAAUUCUCGAGUUUUACACACUCCUCUUCAACAGGCAGCAAUUCUUUUUGCUGAAGUUAAAAUUAUCAAUUCUAGCAAUAUGCCACCUUAUACACUCACCUUAUACACUAGUGUCUAACUGGGAAAUGAAUACACAUACUAGUAUUCAUUGUGUUAGUCUCCCCCACCUUCUGCUGUAACGGAGCUUGUCUGAGCUCAUUACUUUUGUAUUUUCUUGGUCAGACUCAUAAAUCUAAACUCUUGUGAUGUGGUGCUGUCUGCUGUCCUUUUUUUCUUUCAAAUGCUUUCUGGACUGUUGAUUGGUUUUACCUGUGGGUCCAGUGAAUGUUUCUUGAAGCCUUCUGUUCUCCAGUUCCCGUGUGGGGUGCCCGCUGCAACAUCUGCUUCUGUUGCCGCUUCAAGCAGUCCAUGUGGUCGACAAUUUGUUCCAGUGGGUCUUGAGGGGUCCACCAGGGUCCUGCACAGACUGCUGGCAGCAGCCACAGAAGCAGGAAUUUUAAUUGUGAGAUCUGAAGGCAAGGAGAGAGGACCAUCCUCAGCCUCUGCUGGGGACAAGAAGGCUACGAUGGCAACAGGCUGCUGCUGGGCAUAAUUGUUCUGUGGUUCUUCCACCAAGGGUCAUUCUGGAACACAGCCAGGACAUGUUGAGCACAGCAUAGUGCUGGCUUGUAUGCUGACCACACCAGUCACAAUUUAAGUACAAGCCUUUCUAUAUGCUGCUUAUAAUGGUUUGAUUUAAAUGAUACUGCUUAAACUGUGGCAUAAAUGAUGCUUUCGUUCAUACCCAGUUUUCCCCUGUCUCAAGGGAACUAAAUAAUUUCCUGAAAAACGGAGCCCAAAAAAAUGUGUAAUACAGGACAGUUUUGCAACAUUGACUCUUACUGCAAUUUGCUAGUAAAAUUGCCAUUGUCCAUUCAUAGGAUAUUUUCUAUAAGCACUGGAAUUUCAAACCCACUUUAUAUACUGAAGUUUACUACUGUGUUUUCUGGAUCAGCCACUUUCAAUCAACAAAUACACUCCUAGAGCUGAAACACAAGUGCCCGGAACUAACACUGCCCUCUGAGGUACAAUAAGGCUCACCUAAUUGCUUCCUGGCUUGCUGAUCUGUCAUCCCGACCCCCUCUUUGAUGUUGGUUUUUUUUUUCAUGGAGCAUUAGUAACAAGUGAGAAAUGCUGUCUCAGAGUGUUAUGUAUGGGAUUAUUUCUCUAUCCCCAGCACAAUGACCAUAUGUAAUGGGAUUAUCUCUUAUUUAAAAUAAAAAAGGCUUGGAAACAUCAAA
Long non-coding RNA from Columba livia (rock pigeon), 4058 nucleotides. RefSeq lists it as uncharacterized. Lineage: Eukaryota; Metazoa; Chordata; Aves; Columbiformes; Columbidae. The transcript is spliced from 7 exons. The record is from RefSeq and is a predicted model, not a curated record.